UCGAACGGUAACAGGAAGCAGCUUGCUGCUUCGCUGACGAGUGGCGGACGGGUGAGUAAUGUCUGGGAAGCUGCCUGAUGGAGGGGGAUAACUACUGGAAACGGUAGCUAAUACCGCAUAAUGUCGCAAGACCAAAGAGGGGGACCUUCGGGCCUCUUGCCAUCGGAUGUGCCCAGAUGGGAUUAGCUUGUUGGUGGGGUAACGGCUCACCAAGGCGACGAUCCCUAGCUGGUCUGAGAGGAUGACCAGCCACACUGGAACUGAGACACGGUCCAGACUCCUACGGGAGGCAGCAGUGGGGAAUAUUGCACAAUGGGCGCAAGCCUGAUGCAGCCAUGCCGCGUGUAUGAAGAAGGCCUUCGGGUUGUAAAGUACUUUCAGCGGGGAGGAAGGGAGUAAAGUUAAUACCUUUGCUCAUUGACGUUACCCGCAGAAGAAGCACCGGCUAACUCCGUGCCAGCAGCCGCGGUAAUACGGAGGGUGCAAGCGUUAAUCGGAAUUACUGGGCGUAAAGCGCACGCAGGCGGUUUGUUAAGUCAGAUGUGAAAUCCCCGGGCUCAACCUGGGAACUGCAUCUGAUACUGGCAAGCUUGAGUCUCGUAGAGGGGGGUAGAAUUCCAGGUGUAGCGGUGAAAUGCGUAGAGAUCUGGAGGAAUACCGGUGGCGAAGGCGGCCCCCUGGACGAAGACUGACGCUCAGGU
This 701-nucleotide ribosomal RNA is filed under the name uncultured Pseudomonadota bacterium. RNAcentral describes it as "bacterial SSU rRNA". It matches the Rfam family "Bacterial small subunit ribosomal RNA", at positions 62 to 752 of the family's 1533-position model. Lineage: Bacteria; Pseudomonadati; Pseudomonadota. The record is from RNAcentral.